Molecule: transfer RNA, 96 nt
Rfam family: tRNA
About the family: Transfer RNA (tRNA) molecules are approximately 80 nucleotides in length.
Source: Rfam
GGCCUUAUGGUCUAGUAGUAUGAUUCCUGCUUUGGGUUGUAUCAAUUCGAUACACAAGAUUGCAGGAGGUCACGGGUUCAAUUCCCGUUGAGGCCC